UCUAAGUAUUGAAUCUUUGUAAGAAGAUACAAAGACAAAGACUCAUACGGACUUCGACUACACUAUCAAAGCUUUGAGAAGCAAGAAGAAGCUUGGUUAGUGUUUUGGAUUCGAAUAUGACUUGAUGUCAUGUGUAUGACUCAGUAUAAACACUAGAACCGCAACGGAUCUUAAAAGCAUAAGUAUUGUAUCAUUGUUAGAAGAUACAAUGACGAAGACUCAUACGAACUUCGACUACACCAUCAAAGCUUUGAGAAGCAAGAAGCAGUUGGUUAGUGUUUUGGAGUCGAAUAUGACUUGAUGGCAUGUGUAUGAGUGAGUAUAAAAACUAGAACCGCAACGGAUCUUAAAAGCCUAAAUAUUGUAUCCUUGUUAGAAGAUACAUAGACAAAGUCUCAUACGGAAUUCGGCUAAACCAUCAAAGCUUUUAGAAGCAAGAAGAAGCUUGGUUAGUGUUUUGGAGUGAAAUCUAACUAGAUGUCAUGUGUAUGAGUGAGUAUACCAACUAGAACCACAAUUGGAAUUUUAAAAGCCUAAGUAUUAUAUCCUUGUUAGAAGAUACAAAGACAAACACUCAUACGGACUUUGGCUACACCAUCAAAGCUUUGAGAAGCAAGAAGAAGCUUGGUUAGUGUUUUGGAGUCGAAUAUGACUUGAUGUGAUGUGUAUGAUUGAGUAUAAGAAAUUAAACCGCAACCGGUUCUUAAAAGCUU
RNAcentral lists this small RNA (713 nucleotides) under Arabidopsis thaliana (thale cress). RNAcentral describes it as "ATSL269290". The record is from RNAcentral. Lineage: Eukaryota; Viridiplantae; Streptophyta; Magnoliopsida; Brassicales; Brassicaceae.